AUUAAGUGUUGGUAUUUUUUUAAGACUUCUGUGGAUCUGUGUCUCCUCUUUUAUCUCAUUUUUGUGGACUGUAAUAUUGAGGGGAGACAAAGUCUACAUAUCAACUGUUAGCAAUAUCUACAUAUCAACUGUCACCUAUCGCUAGAGCAAGGGGGAGAACACAUGCAGGGGGAGCUACAAAUUAACAGGGAAGUAAAAUUAGAUAUCAUAAACUGCAAGUUGUCAUUAUAAAAAAGGGGAAAUUGUUAACUUGUCAUGUUUUGAAUAAUGACAGGAACACGAAGUAAUAUCUCAAAGGCAUUCCAAUCAAAUAAAUUGAAGACAAAUCACAUCGCAAGAAAUUCGGGAUUAUGCAAUCACUCUAGAUGCUGAAUCAAUCACAAAUUCAAUCUCCAGAAACUGAAAAGGAAAAAGCAGAUUAUCAAAGAAAAGGGAUAUCAACAAUGAUUGACAAUAUCAAUCAAGGAAAUUUAACCUCAGCACCAAAAGGAAAAUCGCAUCAACAAAGGAAGGAGAUCAUUACAUGACCAAAAGAAGAUCAGCAUAUGACAACUAGUCAACCUCUGAUUCAAGGCAGAAAUCAACUUGGAAUGACAAAUCAAGUUAGAGACAAAAUCUUACUCAAUCAAGGUAUCAUUACAAACUCUUGAUUGAAGGAAAUUCCCUUGGGUUUUCUAAAAAGAGAUAAAAUACGCCUCAACUCGAGAGAAAAUACGCCUCAACUCUCAGCCUAUAAAUGAAGAACUUAGAAGACCAAGAUAAUCACGCAACUUCACUUGAGCUUUGCAUACAACCUUAUUUUAUCUUUCAUAAAUCUUUGUAAACACGUGAGUGAUAUAAUUGAACAGAAAAGAAAAAGAAAAAAACUGAGUGUAGGUUUACAACUUAGAGGCAGUGUCAUAUAGAAAUCUGAUUUGCAUAUCAGACAUGAUCAAGUUCUGAAUUGCUGUAACUCAAUACCCCGAAAAUCUCUAAAGGAAAGCCCUUGAAACCCAAGGGGACUGGACUAGGCACCAUAUUGGUGAUCCGAACCAGUAUAAAA
Long non-coding RNA from Solanum pennellii, 1042 nucleotides. RefSeq lists it as uncharacterized. Lineage: Eukaryota; Viridiplantae; Streptophyta; Magnoliopsida; Solanales; Solanaceae. The record is from RefSeq and is a predicted model, not a curated record. The transcript is spliced from 2 exons.